AUGUACGCCGUAACCUGUCCCUUAUCGAUCAUGCCACCACGGUCCACACAAUGGCUCACACUAACAAGAAAAGAAAAGAAAGAUGCAGUAAAAGACAUGCAGUUCAAUGACCAAGUCUUUGUGUGGUACACAAUCGUGGCCGAAGAUAUCAAAGUCUCCGACCUUGAUUCGGAGGAUUACAAGGAAUAUAAAAAGUUGCCUGUCGUUCUAACAAAGAUAAACGAUUCUUGUACUACCUCACCAAAUGAGCUGAUCCAGUUUGAUCCACCCGAGCUAAGCUUCCCUUGCCUGAACAAGACGUCACUCUCCUCAGUUAAUAUAAUCAACAUUACAGAUUGCUACAUUGGUUUCAAUUGUUGGAACCUCACUGAGUUUUCUGCGUGCCACGACAGACAGCCCCGUCAAGGAAUUCUGGCACCACGGUCCACUCAGAGAAUGGUUGUACAAUGUGUACCCAAGGAAAAUGAACCAGUAGAGGACAUGCAUUACAAAAAAAGCAUAUUCGUGUGGAACAUGAUUGUGGCUCAAGGUGUCGAAUCCAGCAGCUUGGAGGAUCAAUGCAGUGAUGAAGACAGUAAGGAGCUGCCCUUCAUUUUUAACAAUAAUAUAAGCAGCCCAUGUACCUCAACCUCAACCUCAGGAGACGAGCUGCUGAUCCGGUUGGACCAUCCUGCAGGGCUUGUCUUUCCGCGAAACAAGACAGGCUUGUUCUCAAUUAACAUUGUCAACGUUACCGAUUACUAUGUUGGUUUUCGUCUAUUUAAGCCCAGAGAAGAUGCGGCCGUGACCCGCCGUACACAUACUGAAGUAGGAAUUUUGGCACCACGGUCUGAUCAAAGACUCGUCGUAGCAAGGCUAAUAAAUGAAAAGGAACCACAAGACACAACAUACAACGACGACAAGCAGCUCUUAAUAUGGAAUGCCAUUGUCAGUGAAGGCGUCAAAGUCAGCGACCUUGAUUGUUCCAUAUGUCUCCAGAUAGAGAAGAGUAUCGAGUUGCCCUUGAUUUUUGAUAAGAUAACUUCAUCUACAUCAGUUGAGCUGAUCAAGUUUGAACCCCCCCAAGUCUGUUUCCCCUUCCUGCCAAGCAAACGUCUGUUAUCUCCAUUUAAGAUAGUCAACGUUACAGAUUAUCACAUUGGUUUCGGUACACGAGUUGAGGAAACAAAUGUGGCGUUGUACAUCACGGUGCCACCGUAUGGAAUCCUGCCACCACGGUCGACACAAGAACUGGUGGUAACAAGGGUCGCCAAGAAAGAGGCACCGGAACUGGAAGACAUGCAGUGCAAAGAUAAAUACUUUGUGUGGAGCUGCUUUGUGUCUCAAGAUGUCAACGCCAGCGAACUCACAAGAUAUAUGCCCCAAAGUGAGAGAAGGAAGUUGCCCAUAGUUUUUACGGAGACAAGCUCAAACGAGUUGGUUCAGUUUGAUCCUCCCGAGCUCAGCUUUCCUCUGUUGCCAAACCAGAGAGUCUUGUCGUCAACUAAGAUAGUCAAUAUUACAGAUCAGUACAUCGUUUCAGAGUAUGCACCAAGAAAAGCAAUUCAGCAAGGUACAACACAAAUCCGGCGGAAGGAAUUUUGCCACCGCUGUCCACGCAAGUAA
RNAcentral lists this ribosomal RNA (1605 nucleotides) under Triticum aestivum (bread wheat). RNAcentral describes it as "partial small subunit ribosomal RNA". Lineage: Eukaryota; Viridiplantae; Streptophyta; Magnoliopsida; Poales; Poaceae. The record is from RNAcentral.